RNAcentral lists this transfer RNA (71 nucleotides) under Pseudomonadota bacterium. RNAcentral describes it as "tRNA-Met". It matches the Rfam family "tRNA". Rfam says of the family: Transfer RNA (tRNA) molecules are approximately 80 nucleotides in length. Their secondary structure includes four short double-helical elements and three loops (D, anti-codon, and T loops). Further hydrogen bonds mediate the characteristic L-shaped molecular structure. tRNAs have two regions of fundamental functional importance: the anti-codon, which is responsible for specific mRNA codon recognition, and the 3' end, to which the tRNAs corresponding amino acid is attached (by aminoacyl-tRNA synthetases). tRNAs cope with the degeneracy of the genetic code in two manners: having more than one tRNA (with a specific anti-codon) for a particular amino acid; and 'wobble' base-pairing, i.e. permitting non-standard base-pairing at the 3rd anti-codon position. RNAcentral also lists the same sequence under 1 other name. Lineage: Bacteria; Pseudomonadati; Pseudomonadota. The record is from RNAcentral.
GUCGGGGUAGCUCAAUGGCAGAGCGGGGCUCUCAUAAGGCCUAGGUGUGGGUUCAAUUCCCACCCCCGACA